Molecule: ribosomal RNA, 861 nt
Filed under: Triticum aestivum (bread wheat)
Lineage: Eukaryota; Viridiplantae; Streptophyta; Magnoliopsida; Poales; Poaceae
Description: partial small subunit ribosomal RNA
Source: RNAcentral
AUGCAAGAUGGAAAGGUAAUUUCCUAUGCUUCUAGGCAACUGGAAAAGCAUGAGCAGAACUAUCCUACACAUGAUCUAGAGCUUGCGGCUGUGGUCUUUGCACUCAAGAUAUGGAGGCCUUAUCUUUACGGAGAAUCUUGUGAUAUUUUCACUGAUCAUAAGAGUCUCAAAUAUAUCUUCACUCAAAAGGAGCUAAACUUGAGGCAAAGACGAUGCUUAGAAUUGAUAAAGGACGAUGACCUCUCAAUCCAGUACCACCCUGGCAAAGCAAAUGUGGUUGCGGAUGCUCUUAGCCGCAAGAUUGUCCCUCCCACUUUAGGUUGUCACAUUGCUGAUUUUGAGCGGAUAGGCAUCUCAUAUUGUUUUGCUGGUGUAGCACAUGAGGAGACACAAUUCAUCCUUCAGUCAACUAUCCCAGACAGAGUGAGAGAGGCACAACAGAAUGACCGGUUGUUGUUGGAGGUGCGGAAGCGCAUCCAAGAAGGUAGAACUGGAGAUUUCAAUCUAGAUGGGACUGGAUCUGUUCGGUUUCAUGGCUGUCUUUGUGUGCCACAAAAGUCCCAGGUCAAGGAGGAUAUUCUGAGAGAAGCACAUCGUACCCCAUAUACGGUUCAUCCUGGAGAGACAAAGAUGUAUCAAGAUUUGAAGAGGACUUAUUGGUGGAAAAGGAUGAAAGUUGAUGUGGCAAAGUAUGCGGCUUCUUGUGUGGUCUGUCAACUUGUGAAGGCGGAGCAUAAGAGACCAGCUGGUUUGUUGCAGUCCUUAGAGGUUCCAAAGUGGCCAUGGGAUGACAUCGCCAUGGAUUUGCUGUUGGCCUACCUCGCACUUGAAGGGGAAGGGAUGCAAUUUGGGUGGUGGUGA